This 362-nucleotide ribosomal RNA is filed under the name Prevotella melaninogenica. RNAcentral's name for it is "partial 23S ribosomal RNA". It matches the Rfam family "Bacterial large subunit ribosomal RNA", at positions 1 to 368 of the family's 2925-position model. Lineage: Bacteria; Pseudomonadati; Bacteroidota; Bacteroidia; Bacteroidales; Prevotellaceae. The record is from RNAcentral.
AAGAAAGUAAGAAAGGGCGCAUGGCGGAUGCCUUGGCUCACGGAGGCGAUGAAGGACGUGAUAAGCUGCGAUAAGCCUUGGGUAGGUGCAAAUAACCUUUGAUCCAAGGAUUUCCGAAUGGGACAACCCAGCAGGUUGAAGACCUGUUAUCACUACAGAUGUAGUGAGGCGAACGAAGGGAACUGAAACAUCUUAGUACCUUUAGGAAGAGAAAAUAAAUAAUGAUUCCCCUAGUAGUGGCGAGCGAACGGGGAAUAGCCCAAACCUGCUUUGUGGCAACGCUUAGCAGGGGUUGUAGGACCACGCUGUCGUACUUAGAUUGUGAGAAGAAUGUUCUGGAAAGAACAAUCAUAGAGGGUGAU